GACGAACGCUGGCGGCGUGCCUAAUACAUGCAAGUAGAACGCUGAAGGAGGAGCUUGCUCUUCUGGAUGAGUUGCGAACGGGUGAGUAACGCGUAGGUAACCUGCCUGGUAGCGGGGGAUAACUAUUGGAAACGAUAGCUAAUACCGCAUAACAGUAGAUGUUGCAUGACAUUUGCUUAAAAGGUGCAAUUGCACCACUACCAGAUGGACCUGCGUUGUAUUAGCUAGUUGGUGGGGUAACGGCUCACCAAGGCGACGAUACAUAGCCGACCUGAGAGGGGGACCGGCCACACUGGGACUGAGACACGGCCCAGACUCCUACGGGAGGCAGCAGUAGGGAAUCUUCGGCAAUGGACGGAAGUCUGACCGAGCAACGCCGCGUGAGUGAAGAAGGUUUUCGGAUCGUAAAGCUCUGUUGUAAGAGAAGAACGAGUGUGAGAGUGGAAAGUUCACACUGUGACGGUAUCUUAACAGAAAGGGACGGCUAACUACGUG
RNAcentral lists this ribosomal RNA (495 nucleotides) under uncultured bacterium. RNAcentral's name for it is "partial 16S ribosomal RNA". It matches the Rfam family "Bacterial small subunit ribosomal RNA", at positions 28 to 507 of the family's 1533-position model. The record is from RNAcentral.